UCCUCUCAGUAGUAAUAAAUAUAAAUGACCCUGUUUACACAUAUAUAUAUAAAUGAUAUACAUACAUAUGUGUACAGGGUCAUUUUGACAUUGCGUUACUAA
Molecule: microRNA precursor, 102 nt
Filed under: Manduca sexta (tobacco hornworm)
Lineage: Eukaryota; Metazoa; Arthropoda; Insecta; Lepidoptera; Sphingidae
Description: microRNA mse-mir-6101 precursor
Source: miRBase by way of RNAcentral